UGAAGGCCAGGCUGAAGACUUUGCCGGAUUAGCUGAGAGGUGGUGCAUGGCCGUCGUCAGUUCGUGCUGUGAAGCAUCCUGUUAAGUCAGGCAACGAGCGAGACCCACGCCCACAGUUGCCAGCGUACUCUCCGGAGUGACGGGUACACUGUGGGGACCGCCGCUGCUAAAGCGGAGGAAGGAAUGGGCAACGGUAGGUCAGUAUGCCCCGAAUAUCCCGGGCUACACGCGAGCUACAAUGGUUGGUACAAUGGGUAUCUACCCCGAAAGGGGACGGAAAUCUCCUAAAACCAAUCUUAGUUCGGAUUGAGGGCUGCAACUCGCCCUCAUGAAGCUGGAAUCCGUAGUAAUCGCGUUUCAACAGAACGCGGUGAAUACGUCCCUGCUCCUU
RNAcentral lists this ribosomal RNA (391 nucleotides) under uncultured Methanosaeta sp. RNAcentral's name for it is "bacterial SSU rRNA". It matches the Rfam family "Archaeal small subunit ribosomal RNA", at positions 948 to 1338 of the family's 1478-position model. The record is from RNAcentral. Lineage: Archaea; Methanobacteriati; Methanobacteriota; Methanomicrobia; Methanotrichales; Methanotrichaceae.